AACGAACGCUGGCGGCAUGCCUAACACAUGCAAGUCGAACGAGACCUUCGGGUCUAGUGGCGCACGGGUGCGUAACGCGUGGGAACCUGCCCUUAGGUUCGGAAUAACUCCCCGAAAGGGGUGCUAAUACCGGAUAAUGUCUUCGGACCAAAGAUUUAUCGCCUUUGGAUGGGCCCGGGUUGGAUUAGCUAGUUGGUAGGGUAAAAGCCUACCAAGGCGACGAUCCAUAGCUGGUCUGAGAGGAUGAUCAGCCACCCUGGGACUGAGACACGGCCCAGACUCCUACGGGAGGCAGCAGUGGGGAAUAUUGGACAAUGGGCGAAAGCCUGAUCCAGCAAUGCCGCGUGAGUGAUGAAGGCCUUAGGGUUGUAAAGCUCUUUUACCCGGGAUGAUAAUGACAGUACCGGGAGAAUAAGCUCCGGCUAACUCCGUG
This 433-nucleotide ribosomal RNA is filed under the name uncultured bacterium. Its description in RNAcentral is "partial 16S ribosomal RNA". It matches the Rfam family "Bacterial small subunit ribosomal RNA", at positions 29 to 507 of the family's 1533-position model. The record is from RNAcentral.